AACAGUGUUUUCACGGAACACUGUUCAUAUGAACAGUAUCAUCUCGGAACACUGUUCAUAUGAACAGUGAUUUCAGCAUGAAUAGUAAUUUCAGGAAUGAAUAUUAUUUUUAGCUAUUCUUCAUGGGAUUGGAGAUUAAAAAGUUCUUUUUCUUUGUGAUGAAGUGAGAGUGAGAAUCUCUAUUUCGGAAGAGUGCGGAUGCUAAUCCGGAAAGGAGGGAACGCGAGGAUCACUGGGAGAUCGCACGCGGGUUCGGAUGUUUGGGUGUAAAUGUGCUUGAUCAGAUCAUGACAGGAUUGGGCCCGCGCGGUUUGGGGCUAUGAUGCAUCCCUCU
Molecule: long non-coding RNA, 334 nt
Filed under: Phoenix dactylifera (date palm)
Lineage: Eukaryota; Viridiplantae; Streptophyta; Magnoliopsida; Arecales; Arecaceae
Description: long non-coding RNA (PDAC_LNC012059)
Source: RNAcentral